Bacteroides sp. 43_108 is the source of this 399-nucleotide non-coding RNA. NCBI's taxonomy places the organism in Bacteria, Pseudomonadati, Bacteroidota, Bacteroidia, Bacteroidales, Bacteroidaceae. The record is from Rfam.
GGGGCUGACUGGAUUUGACAGCAGGAUGAAGUUGUAUGUAAGCAUGCAGAGCGUCGGUGAUUUGCUCUAUAAUAUCAGUCAUCAAAAAAUUAUCUGGCGAAAACAAUUACGCUCUCGCUGCUUAAUCGAAGCAUAGUAGAUAAGCUUUAUUUCCCUGCAAGGCGGGGAAACGAGACAUCGCCCUGAAAGCUACAAGUCCCGAAGCGUUCAGAACGGCGGUGCGGCAAAAUCGGGAAUAGUCGGCGGCGGCCUCGCGCCGCAGAUGAAGCUUUAGAGGAUAAGGUCGCGGUGGGUGGUCCAGGUCUUGCCGAGGCACGAAAACCGAAGUCUGGAAUAAGCAUGUAGAAAGCAUAGGGCUUCCUUGUUUGGACGAGGGUUCAAUCCCCUCCAGCUCCACCC